Molecule: microRNA precursor, 61 nt
Filed under: Danio rerio (zebrafish)
Lineage: Eukaryota; Metazoa; Chordata; Actinopteri; Cypriniformes; Danionidae
Description: Dre-Mir-7133_pre stem-loop
Source: RNAcentral
UGGUGUUGUGUGUUAAACUGUAUUCCUAAACAACAUCUAUAGUUUGAUUCACAGCACAAGA